This is a non-coding RNA of Equus caballus (horse), 5075 nucleotides long. The record is from RefSeq and is a predicted model, not a curated record. NCBI's taxonomy places the organism in Eukaryota, Metazoa, Chordata, Mammalia, Perissodactyla, Equidae.
UGGUGCCACGUCCACAGCUGGAAUCUGAACCGGUGAACCCUGGGCCACUGAAGCAGAAUGUGUGCACUUAACUGCUGUUCCACCGGGAUGGCCCCUCCAGCCUUUUCUUAUCCAUGUCAUGAGCAGUCUUAUCAAGAGGCACAUGUGAAGAAGAACUGAAGCGUCCUGCAAAUAACUAGGUACCUGCUUCACUCUGCUCCUGGCCUUUUGAAAUGAAAAUGCAAAGAAAACACAAAGUAGAUCUCUGCGAGAUUGGGCACUGUAAGAACCUUCCUGCUGUUCUCCAAGGGAGCUUUGAAACAAUAAUUAAGCACGCAAAAAAACAAAUCUUCAUGAAUAAUCGAAUUGGAAGAACCAGGGAAGUUUGUACAGCACACGGCUGUGGCUGACAGACAAGUCAGGAAUCAGCCUCCUUCAGUAGGACGCUAAUUGUCUUUGACACCUUCUAUUAACAGCAGGGAGCACAGCCGAAGACUGGUGCAGACACGUGACCCGACAUUUCCUUAACUUCCAUUUUUCUAAAAGUAUAAGGUUUCUUUUUUUCCUGUGCUUGUUUUUGUUGUCGAAUUCAAAUUUCAAACUACAUUACAAGAUAAGCAUAUAUAAAAUAUAACUUUAAAGUUCUGUUAGUAUAAAAAUGAGAUAUAAAAGCAAAAAAAUAAGGCAAAUGGGCUUGAUAUGUUAAUAUUAACAUAUUCCAAAUGUCUUUCAGAAAUGGUAAUACAUUCAAGUUGCCUUUCCCUCUCCUACAACCAUGACAGACAUAAUUAGAGAUUUUUCCACUUAUUUUCUCUUGAGGCUGGGCUAGGUAGUUAUCCGAAAUGUCUAAUAUUGGCUCAGUUAAUGAACCUCAUUUGCUGUCUCUGCUCUAGGCCAUGCUAAAGCAUCUCUAACACACAAUUGGCCUGACAUAAUUACAAAACAAAACUUUGGGUUGUGAAAUCGUGGGAAGAAAACAGAUUAUCAGUGAAGUUUAGGAAUAACACGGAAUCAAUAACUUUUUGUGACAACUCACCAGUUCUUUUCUUUAUGCCAAACUAAAGAAGUUUUCCUGCUGCUGAAUCACAGAGUGAACCAACCAACCAACCAACCAAAAAGGGAACCUAGGUAGCUGCAGCAAACGUUUUGCUAAGCCUGGCUAGCCCACAUAUUGGAGGCAUUGAAUGACUGGCACCCAAUGUUUGUGCUGCUGGGGGAUGAGGAUAUUUAAGAAGUAAUAUCUUCUACAGAAAUCAAUUUUUAAAAUAAUCAAUAUUAAAAACAAAUAAAUUUACAAAGUUUAAGGCUCUGUAAUAGUUAUCUGAAGCAAAAUAGACUUUCUUAAAUGUAUUAUUUAAGAAUAAAGAGGAAACUAUGCAUACUUCUCCUUCAAAGAGUAAAGUUAGCCUUUUAAGCAAUUUUUUUCUUGUCUUUAUAAUUUUCUGUGUUAUAAAAGUCCAUAGAAUAUGGCAGCCCCUAUCUGACUCUACCAGGAUCAAGAUUCUGGGGUUCAGACUGAGCAAGUACGAGCCAACAAUUCCUUGUGACCAGUUCUACAUCUCUGAGUGCUUCAUCCUACACAAGUACCAUUAGGGUUAGAGUUCGUCUAAGUAGCUGAUAGGAACUAAAUUAGAGAGAGAAAUAUGAAAAUGGAAUGAGAUUCUUCCUGAAAUCUCAAAUUUGAGCAAGUGUGAAGAGACUGAAGUCUCUUUAUAGUUCCUAGUAAAAGAAAGUCCAUUGGUUUCUUCCUCGUCAUUUUAAUUUAGGAAAUAGAACCUGGGCAGUUAUGACUCUGGACACACACUGAAAGGGUAGCUUCUCUUAAUAACUCUGUGGCUUUAGGCAAAUUAUUGAAAUUUUCUGAUCUUCAGUUCACUUAUUUCUAUGGUUGCAGAAAUAAUAGUACCAACCUUAUAAGGUUAUUAUAAGGGUUAAAUGAGGUUAACUAUGAAAAGUACCUAGCAAGAUAUCUGGCACAUAGUAAAUGCUCAAUAAAUGUUAGCUGAUAUUCGCUAUUAAUAAUGUUAUUGUGUAAAAUUUGCAGCAGACUCCUCCUCUUUUCCCCUAGACCCACUUCUUCUCACUCUUCAUCCUCGUGGAGUCAUGAAUCUCUCCCAUAGUAGUAACACGUUUUCAAUACCUUCUUCUGUCCCCUGUGUUCUUUGCUGCCUCAGACUCUUUGCUGUCUAUUUGUUUCAUGCUUGGUUUUCACAUUCAGUCUCCCCUCUAGUUGCAGACUGACCCCAGGUGAGCAACUACCCCUGUAGCCCCAGUCCCUCCCCAGCAGGAAUAGCCUAUUCCUCCCCUUUUCCCAUCUCACAUGGGUAUGGAUAUGCUUCUGGAUGUGCUGCUAGGUAGCUAAGAAUCCAGAAUGCAGAGAAGCACAUGAAUAGAAUCACCUAGAAGAGAGAAGAGGAUCCUUGAGAUGCAAAUAACUAGGACUACAAAAGAAAAAAAUGGUAUAUUCAAUUAUGCUAUAACAACAGCAGCAACAGUAAAACCCAGAACUCAAAGCAGCAGAUGUUAAUUUCUUGCUCAGAUUUAUAGCCAUCUUGGGUGGCAGAGGGCUCUGCUUGACAUUGUUUUUAAUCAGGGAUCUUGGCUGAGGAAGCAUCCACAUUUGCAAUUGCAUCUGUUACAAUGCGAGGAGUAAAGCAACAGGUAUUACACAGAAGCAACACAGGACACUUCAGCUUACGUUACAUAAUCAAGAGCAACAUACAUGUCCAUGCCUAACUGCAAAGGGGCUCAGAAGUUCCUAUCCUACUAUUCAUCUGGGAUAUUAGUGAACAGCCCUAAUAAUUACAAAACUGUAAAUCAAUGUAAUAGAGUAUGAGUUCCUGACAGCAUGAAAUACAUUUCAUGAAACUUUAUAUUCUCUCCUUCAGAGAAAAACUUGACAAUAGUGACAUACAAUAAAUGCUUUUGUAAUGAGUAAAUUAAUGAUCUCAUAUAUUGUAUUGUAAAAAUGAAUCCAAAUGUUGAUUACGCUAAUAGAUGCAAUAUAUAAUGAUAAUAGCACAGGAGUUUUAGAAGAGGUUAUUUACUUGGAAUGUUUAUUCACACAUUUCUUUUGUUUUAAAAAUUUUUAAAGUUAAAAUACUUCACUUCCAACCUUGAGUUUUCUCUGAAGGCUUUUCCUAUGCAGUGUCAUAUAAAGCGCUCGUGGGACUUUGCCAAAGCUUGCCAUUGAGAUCUCCUGAAAUUACUCUAGAUUUAAAUUGCUUAACUUGGUAUAGGAGCACACUGACAUUCACAGCUGUUAAUCAUGGGCACUGUAGGAUUAUGAAGGCAUUUAAUGUUUUCCCUCUGUGGGAUAUUAGGUGUCAUGUUAGCACAUUGUGAUCAUUACUUUGAGUGCAUGUUUUAAUUCUCUUCUCUCCCCACCAAUGUGCAUCUCCUUCUAGGCUUAUAAUUUAACCUCUGUGUGCCUGUUUUCAUUUCUGGGGGAAAUUAAUGCAUUGUAGAAAUUUAAAAUUUCUAUUAUGACUUCAUUCCAGUAGGUUUCAAAUUCAUAUACUUGAUCUGAUUGAAUGAGUCAUGAAGGGGUGGAAAUAUAUUGAAAGUGCCAUGAGUGGAUGUUGAAAACUACUGAGACUAAGUAUUGAUGAAGAGCAAUUACUGUAAUAUGACAAGAAACUUCUUGAUUUAGAAAUCCUCGAUGUUUCCAAGUUAUGAGAAAAUAAGGAAUAUAAUGAAAGAGAAAGAAAAUCAACACUUUUCUGAAAUAUUGUAUUUAAAAAAUCAGUACUACAAUAGAAAAUUAAAAAUGAGUUCUUUUACAAAUAUAGACUUUUCUCUCAUAGUCUAUGCUCUAACACUUUAUUUUUUUGACCUAAUAGUGAUACUUGAUAUACCUGCCACUUAAUUUUUUGUUCUCCCUUCUGAGUAAUCAGGCUACAAACAAAGCCAGCUAAAACUUAAAGAAUACUUGCAGUUUUGUCUCUUGAUAAAUCUAGAGGUAAGGAAUAGACAAUUCAGCACAGGACAAAACUCCAAAAUAAAACCUUUCCCUUUUCCUCAUCAAAUUCUCUUCUCCAUUUAUCAAAUACCAGGUCCUUUCUUUUUCUCUACGUUGGAAUCCUGCACUCUGCCCAACUCCCAUGAAUGGAAAAGUUCUACUUGCUACACGUCCUUGCUAAGACGCAUUAUUAUCAGUAUCUCUAUUUUACCCAGUCUGAUGGCUGUGUACAGAAAUAGCAUUGUGACUUUAAUUCGUGCUUGCCUGAUUUUAAUGAGGUUGAGCACCUUUUCAUACAUUUAUUGGUGAUUUGGAUAGUCUUUUUUGUGAAGUGCUAAUUCUUGUCUCUUGUCCAUUGUCUAUUAGAAUGCCUAUCUUUUCCUUAUUGAUUUGUAGAAGUUUAUUUCAUAUACCUGAUAAAUCUUUUGUGAAUUAUAUUUAGUAUUACAAAUAUAUUUUCUAACUCUGUAUAUUGUCUUUUUAUUCCCCAAAUUCUGUCUUUUGAUGAACGGAAGUUCCUAAUUUUAUUGCAGUUCAUUUUAUCAGUGACUUUAUUUACAGUUAUUGCCUUUUAAAUCCUGUUUGGGAAAUCUUUGCCUAUCCCAAUGUCAUGGAAGAUUCGUAAAAAAUUUUAGAUCUAAAAUCCACAGUGAACUGAAGAGGCCCACGUUAAUAUUUCAUUGAUAGUGAUUAGACUGUUCUUUUCUGAUUGCUCUGUAGGGCUACCAUCACGAGAAAUUAAGUGCCCACAUACAUAUGUGAUUAUUUCUGGACUCUGUUCUGUUCCAUUGGUUGAUGUUUCCAUCCCUGUGCAAUUACCAUAGGAUCUUUAUUAACAUAGGUUUAUAAUAAAACUUUUUAUUGGACAGUUUAAGUGCUACAAUGUUUUUUCUUCUUCAAAAUUAUCUUGACUAUUAUUUUUUUGUUUUUAUAUAAAUCUAAAAUUAGCCUUUUGAUUUUUCUGAAAAAAAAAACAAAACAAGAUUUUGCUUGAAGAUUCAGUUGGUUAACAGAUCAAAUUUGGGGAAAGCAAAAUCUUUGUUGGUGAUACUAAAUCGUCCAAUCCUUUGUCGACGAAAAUAAUCCAUGACCAAUCUAUAAAUGAAAAUUUAGGCGAGUUUAUUCUGAGCCAAAA